RNAcentral lists this ribosomal RNA (253 nucleotides) under uncultured bacterium. Its description in RNAcentral is "partial 16S ribosomal RNA". It matches the Rfam family "Bacterial small subunit ribosomal RNA", at positions 524 to 776 of the family's 1533-position model. The record is from RNAcentral.
UACGUAGGGUGCAAGCGUUAAUCGGAAUUACUGGGCGUAAAGCGUGCGCAGGCGGUGCUGUAAGACAGGCGUGAAAUCCCCGGGCUUAACCUGGGAAUGGCGCUUGUGACUGCAGUGCUGGAGUGCGGGAGAGGGGGAUGGAAUUCCGCGUGUAGCAGUGAAAUGCGUAGAUAUGCGGAGGAACACCGAUGGCGAAGGCAAUCCCCUGGGCCUGCACUGACGCUCAUGCACGAAAGCGUGGGGAGCAAACAGG